UACGGGGGAUGCAAGCGUUAUCCGGAAUCAUUGGGCGUAAAGCGCCUGUAGGUUGUUUAAUAAGUCUGUUGUUAAAGACUAGGGCUUAACCCUAGAAAAGCAAUGGAAACUACUAGACUAGAGUAUGGCAGGGGUAGAGGGAAUUUCUAGUGUAGCGGUGAAAUGCGUAGAUAUUAGAAAGAACACCAGUGGCGAAAGCGCUCUACUGGACCAUUACUGACACUCAGAGGCGAAAGCUAGGGUAGCAAAAGGGAUUAGAUACCCCUGUAGUCCUAGCCGUAAACGAUGGAUACUACAUGUUGUGCAAAGGUACAGUAUGGUAGCUAACGCGUUAAGUAUCCCGCCUGGGGAGUACGCUCGCAAGGGUG
This 368-nucleotide ribosomal RNA is filed under the name uncultured phototrophic eukaryote. Its description in RNAcentral is "SSU rRNA". It matches the Rfam family "Bacterial small subunit ribosomal RNA", at positions 524 to 896 of the family's 1533-position model. The record is from RNAcentral.